This 355-nucleotide ribosomal RNA is filed under the name uncultured bacterium. RNAcentral's name for it is "bacterial SSU rRNA". It matches the Rfam family "Bacterial small subunit ribosomal RNA", at positions 1 to 334 of the family's 1533-position model. The record is from RNAcentral.
CUAGCGACUUCAGAGUUUGAUCCUGGCUCAGGAUGAACGCUGGCGGCGUGCUUAACACAUGCAAGUCGAACGAGGCUUACCGACGGAAGUUUUCGGAUGGAAGACGGUAAGACCGAGUGGCGGACGGGUGAGUAACGCGUGGGGAACCUGCCCCAUUCCGGGGGAUACCAGUUGGAAACGACUGUUAAUACCGCAUAAGCGCACAAGCGGACAUCCGCAAGUGUGAAAAACUGAGGUGGAAUGGGAUGGCCCCGCGUCUGAUUAGCCAGUUGGCAGGGUAACGGCCUACCAAAGCGACGAUCAGUAGCCGGCCUGAGAGGGCGACCGGCCACAUUGGGACUGAGACACGGCCCAA